CGAGAAGUUGCCUUUAAGAUUCUUCGCAGAGACCUCUCAGCUUGUCCGGCUGCCGCUGUCUGAGGCACCAUGAAGACAAGUUUCAUUCUCAGCCUUUGGGUCUUUAACCAACUAGGCUCUGCGCUGGGCGACUCGGUCAAAUCCAAUCAACCCGAAGUGUCUGGAUCAGCUGGAGGUUCUGUGACACUCACCUGUUCUUACACCACCAGCGAUAGCUAUGUCUAUCUCUCUUGAUACCGUCAGUAUCCGAACCAGGCCCCGCAGUACAUUCUCUGGAGAGGAGCGAAGUCCGCCAGCCAGCUCAGUGAUACCGCAGACUUUGCCCAGAAGAGGUUUUCUUCCCAGGCUAAUGACAGCGCCACAGUUCUGAAUAUCAGAGCCCUGGAGCUGGCGGACAGCGCGGUGUAUUACUGCGCCCUGCAGAGAGCACAGUGACAGAGCCACAUAGGGGAGCCGAACACAAACCCUCCCUUCCCAGCUGCAGAUAAUGUCCACAUUGAGGUUGGAAGCGGAGCCCCUCGGGAGUUUUGCUGGUUAAAAAACACAUAUUCUGGCUCCAGCGUGGUGCUGUCAGAUUACUCCUUCCUAAUCUCUCCAAACGGC
Molecule: non-coding RNA, 603 nt
Organism: Dermochelys coriacea (leatherback sea turtle)
Lineage: Eukaryota; Metazoa; Chordata; Testudines; Dermochelyidae
Source: the annotation of a RefSeq genome assembly